UCCGCUUGAUCCUGCCGGACCCGACUGCUAUCAGAGUGGGACUAAGCCAUGCGAGUCAACGUAGAAAUACGUGGCGAACGGCUCAGUAACACGUAGUCAACAUGCCCAGAGGACGUGGAUAACCUCGGGAAACUGAGGAUAAACCGCGAUAGGUCAUGAUUUCUGGAAUGGUUUAUGGCUGAAAUCUAUAUGGCCUCUGGAUUGGACUGCGGCCGAUCAGGCUGUUGGUGAGGUAAUGGCCCACCAAACCUGUAACCGGUACGGGCUCUGAGAGGAGGAGCCCGGAGAUGGGCACUGAGACAAGGGCCCAGGCCCUAUGGGGCGCAGCAGGCGCGAAAUCUCUGCAAUAGGCGAAAGCUUGACAGGGUUACUCUGAGUGAUUCCCGCUAAGGGGAUCUUUUGGCACCUCUAAAAAUGGUGCAGAAUAAGGGGUGGGCAAGUCUGGUGUCAGCCGCCGCGGUAAUACCAGCACCCCGAGUGGUCGGGACGAUUAUUGGGCCUAAAGCAUCCGUAGCCGGUACUGCAAGUCUUCCGUUAAAUCCACCUGCUCAACAGUUGGGCUGCGGAGGAUACUACAGCGCUAGGAGGCGGGAGAGGCAAGCGGUACUCAUUGGGUAGGGGUAAAAUCCACUGAUCCAUUGAAGACCACCAGUGGCGAAGGCGGCUUGCCAGAACGCGCUCGACGGUGAGGGAUGAAAGCUGGGGGAGCAAACCGGAUUAGAUACCCGGGUAGUCCCAGCUGUAAACGAUGCAGACUCGGUGAUGGGCUGGCCUUGUGCCAACCCAGUGCCGCAGGGAAGCCGUUAAGUCUGCCGCCUGGGGAGUACGG
Molecule: ribosomal RNA, 829 nt
Filed under: uncultured archaeon
Lineage: Archaea
Description: bacterial SSU rRNA
Rfam family: Archaeal small subunit ribosomal RNA
Source: RNAcentral